CGCCUUUUUCGAAGACUCUAGCUGCAAAACUGGAAGCCGUCGGUGGGGCAAGGCAGAGAAGAGACCACGUCUGGCGGAUGAGUCCUGUGAUUAUCAGGUCACCUGGGUAACGCCCAACCACGACGGGCUGGGUCUCAGCGCGAGGCCUGCAGCCCGGCGCCGACUGGAAUCCCCAGCACUGCCGUCUGGAGGACAUCGGCGGUAUCUCCCCAAGAGACGGGAAGUCUGUGUGUCGAAGAGGCGCGGGACGCAAGCCCACCAACCUGGCCGACCCCAGGGAAAGGCCGAGCGUCCAGCCCGCGGGGGCCCAAGAUGGUGCCAGAGUUCGAGGCCCUCUGUGCAUGCACCCCGCCCGCCUUCGAAUCUAGCCUGUUCGCCGUUGUGGUUUGUCCUCCCGGUUCCUCUGAAGGAGUUGGUCAGUAGAACCAUGGCCUCCAUUGACUACGUCCUCAGAGUCGCAGCUCUCUUCAGUCGAGCUCCAGUCACAGAGGACGGUUGUGGUGAGACCCAGGCAGAAGUAUUUCCGGUCAACGAGGUCGCGGGUAGUGCGCAUGCGCUUCGUGCAGGGCCCUGCGCAAGGGCGCCUGGGAAACCUUGCGAGAAGUGACACACGCCCUGUCCUCAGGGAGCCCACGGCCGACUGGGAAACAGGAGAACGGGUCAAACGUGGGACGUCCGUCAGCUAUACCGAAAGUUCACUCCAACCAGGAUUUGCUGCCACUCUACAAAAUCUUCUCAAGAUCAACAAUACCCUCUGCCUGACCAACAUGGUGAAACCCCGUCUCUACUAAAUACAAAAAAUUAGCUGGGCCUGGUGGCUCUUGCCUGUAAUUCCAGCUACUUGGGAGGCUGAGGCAGGAGAAUCGCUUGAACCUGGGAGGCAGAGGUUGCAGUGAGCCGAGAUUGCGCCCCUGCACUCCAACCUGGACAACACAGCGAGAUUCCGUCUCAAAAAAAAAAAAAAAAGAAAAAAGAAAAAACACACACACAAGAAAACAAAAAACAAACAAAAACUACAUCAGACACUUUCUAAGGAUUAG
This 1040-nucleotide long non-coding RNA is filed under the name Homo sapiens (human). Its description in RNAcentral is "HSALNT0398937". Lineage: Eukaryota; Metazoa; Chordata; Mammalia; Primates; Hominidae. The record is from RNAcentral.